GAUGAACGCUAGCGGGAGGCCUAACACAUGCAAGCCGAGCGGUAUUGUUUCUUCUGAAAUGUGAGCGCGGCGUACGGGUGCGUAACACGUGUGCAACCUGCCUUUUUCUGGUGGGUAGCCUUUCGAAAGGAAGAUUAAUACUCCAUAAUAUAUUGAACGGCAUCGUUUAAUAUUGAAAGCUCCUUCGGUUUGAGAUGGGCACGCGGAAGAUUAGCUAGUUGGUGAGGUAACGGCUCACCAAGGCGAUGAUCUGUAGGGGGCCUGAGAGGGUGACCCCCCACGUUGGCACUGAGACACGGACCAGACUACUGCGGGAGGCAGCAGUGGGGGAUACUGGUCAAUAGGUGGAAGACUGAACCAACCAUCGCGCGUGAAGGACGACGGGCCGAUGGGUUGUAAACUUCUUUUGUAUAGGUAUAAACCUACCCUCGGGAGUGUGGCUGAGGACACAAUUCGAAUAAGCACCGGCUAACUCCG
RNAcentral lists this ribosomal RNA (477 nucleotides) under uncultured bacterium. RNAcentral's name for it is "partial 16S ribosomal RNA". It matches the Rfam family "Bacterial small subunit ribosomal RNA", at positions 28 to 505 of the family's 1533-position model. The record is from RNAcentral.